AGUGAACGCUGGCGGUAGGCCUAACACAUGCAAGUCGAACGGCAGCACAGUAAGAGCUUGCUCUUACGGGUGGCGAGUGGCGGACGGGUGAGGAAUACAUCGGAAUCUACUUUUUCGUGGGGGAUAACGUAGGGAAACUUACGCUAAUACCGCAUACGACCUACGGGUGAAAGCAGGGGAUCUUCGGACCUUGCGCGAUUGAAUGAGCCGAUGUCGGAUUAGCUAGUUGGCGGGGUAAAGGCCCACCAAGGCGACGAUCCGUAGCUGGUCUGAGAGGAUGAUCGGCCACACUGGAACUGAGACACGGUCCAGACUCCUACGGGAGGCAGCAGUGGGGAAUAUUGCGCAAUGGGCGCAAGCCUGAUCCAGCCAUACCGCGUGGGUGAAGAAGGCCUUCGGGUUGUAAAGCUCUUUUGUUGGGAAAGAAAAACAGCAGAUGAAUACCCCGCUGUUCUGACGGUACCCAAUGAAUAAGCACCGGCUAACUUCGUG
RNAcentral lists this ribosomal RNA (492 nucleotides) under uncultured bacterium. RNAcentral describes it as "partial 16S ribosomal RNA". It matches the Rfam family "Bacterial small subunit ribosomal RNA", at positions 29 to 507 of the family's 1533-position model. The record is from RNAcentral.